This 565-nucleotide ribosomal RNA is filed under the name uncultured bacterium. RNAcentral describes it as "partial 16S ribosomal RNA". It matches the Rfam family "Bacterial small subunit ribosomal RNA", at positions 355 to 914 of the family's 1533-position model. The record is from RNAcentral.
UGGGGAAUUUUGGACAAUGGGCGAAAGCCUGAUCCAGCAAUGCCGCGUGUGUGAAGAAGGCCUUCGGGUUGUAAAGCACUUUUGUCCGGAAAGAAAUCCUUGGCUCUAAUACAGUCGGGGGAUGACGGUACCGGAAGAAUAAGCACCGGCUAACUACGUGCCAGCAGCCGCGGUAAUACGUAGGGUGCAAGCGUUAAUCGGAAUUACUGGGCUAAAGCGUGCGCAGGCGGUUUGCUAAGACCGAUGUGAAAUCCCCGGGCUCAACCUGGGAACUGCAUUGGUGACUGGCAGGCUAGAGUAUGGCAGAGGGGGGUAGAAUUCCACGUGUAGCAGUGAAAUGCGUAGAGAUGUGGAGGAAUACCGAUGGCGAAGGCAGCCCCCUGGGCCAAUACUGACGCUCAUGCACGAAAGCGUGGGGAGCAAACAGGAUUAGAUACCCUGGUAGUCCACGCCCUAAACGAUGUCAACUAGUUGUUGGGGAUUCAUUUCCUUAGUAACGUAGCUAACGCGUGAAGUUGACCGCCUGGGGAGUACGGUCGCAAGAUUAAAACUCAAAUGAAUUGAC